GUCUAGUAUAAGCAAUCUAUACGGUGAAACUGCGAAUGGCUCAUUAAAUCAGUUAUCGUUUAUUUGAUAGUACCUUACUACUUGGAUAACCGUGGUAAUUCUAGAGCUAAUACAUGCUAAAAACCCCGACUUACGAAGGGGUGUAUUUAUUAGAUAAAAAACCAAUGCCCUUCGGGGCUCCUUGGUGAUUCAUAAUAACUUAACGAAUCGCAUGGCCUUGUGCCGGCGAUGGUUCAUUCAAAUUUCUGCCCUAUCAACUUUCGAUGGUAGAGUAGUGGUCUACCAUGGUUUCAACGGGUAACGGGGAAUUAGGGUUCUAUUCCGGAGAGGGAGCCUGAGAAACGGCUACCACAUCCAAGGAAGGCAGCAGGCGCGCAAAUUACCCAAUCCCGACACGGGGAGGUAGUGACAAUAAAUACUGAUACAGGGCUCUUUUGGGUCUUGUAAUUGGAAUGAGUACAAUUUAAAUCCCUUAACGAGGAACAAUUGGAGGGCAAGUCUGGUGCCAGCAGCCGCGGUAAUUCCAGCUCCAAUAGCGUAUAUUAAAGUUGUUGCAGUUAAAAAGCUCGUAGUUGAACCUUGGGCCUGGCUGGCCGGUCCGCCUCACCGCGUGCACUGGUCCGGCCGGGUCUUUCCUCCUGGGGAGCUGCAUGCCCUUCACUGGGUGUGUCAGGGAACCAGGACUUUUACUUUGAAAAAAUUAGAGUGUUCAAAGCAGGCCUAUGCUCGAAUACAUUAGCAUGGAAUAAUAGAAUAGGACGUGUGGUUCUAUUUUGUUGGUUUCUAGGACCGCCGUAAUGAUUAAUAGGGAUAGUCGGGGGCAUCAGUAUUCAAUUGUCAGAGGUGAAAUUCUUGGAUUUAUUGAAGACUAACUACUGCGAAAGCAUUUGCCAAGGAUGUUUUCAUUAAUCAGUGAA
This 917-nucleotide ribosomal RNA is filed under the name Leotiomycetes sp. Its description in RNAcentral is "SSU rRNA". It matches the Rfam family "Eukaryotic small subunit ribosomal RNA", at positions 57 to 983 of the family's 1831-position model. The record is from RNAcentral. Lineage: Eukaryota; Fungi; Ascomycota; Leotiomycetes.